GAUGAACGCUGGCGGCGUGCUUAACACAUGCAAGUCGAACGGAGUACUUUCGGGUACUUAGUGGCGGACGGGUGAGUAACGCGUGAGGAUCUGCCCUUAGGAGGGGAACAACAGUUGGAAACGACUGCUAAUGCCCCAUAUGCCGAGAGGUGAAAUGUUUUAUCGCCUGAGGAUGAACUCGCGUCUGAUUAGCUAGUUGGUGGGGUAAGGGCCUACCAAGGCGACGAUCAGUAGCUGGUCUAAGAGGAUGAUCAGCCACACUGGGACUGAGACACGGCCCAGACUCCUACGGGAGGCAGCAGUGGGGAAUUUUCCGCAAUGGGCGAAAGCCUGACGGAGCAACGCCGCGUGAGGGAGGAAGGCCUUAGGGUUGUAAACCUCUUUUCUCUGGGAAGAAUAACUGACGGUACCAGAGGAAUAAGCCUCGGCUAACUCCGUGCCAGCCGCCGCGGUAAAAC
This 458-nucleotide ribosomal RNA is filed under the name uncultured bacterium. RNAcentral describes it as "bacterial SSU rRNA". It matches the Rfam family "Bacterial small subunit ribosomal RNA", at positions 28 to 526 of the family's 1533-position model. The record is from RNAcentral.